CGCAUAGCUCAGCUGGUUUAGAGCAUCUGCCUUACAAGCAGAGGGUCGGGGGUUCGAAUCCCUCU
RNAcentral lists this transfer RNA (65 nucleotides) under uncultured Prevotella sp. It matches the Rfam family "tRNA", at positions 7 to 64 of the family's 71-position model. From Rfam's summary of the family: Transfer RNA (tRNA) molecules are approximately 80 nucleotides in length. The record is from RNAcentral. Lineage: Bacteria; Pseudomonadati; Bacteroidota; Bacteroidia; Bacteroidales; Prevotellaceae.